CAGUCGCCGCGGGAAUACGUAGGUCCCGAGCGUUGUCCGGAUUUAUUGGGCGUAAAGCGAGCGCAGGCGGUUAGAUAAGUCUGAAGUUAAAGGCUGUGGCUUAACCAUAGUACGCUUUGGAAACUGUUUAACUUGAGUGCAGAAGGGGAGAGUGGAAUUCCAUGUGUAGCGGUGAAAUGCGUAGAUAUAUGGAGGAACACCGGUGGCGAAAGCGGCUCUCUGGUCUGUAACUGACGCUGAGGCUCGAAAGCGUGGGGAGCAAACAGGAUUAGAUACCCCUGUAGUCCCUGUCUCUUAUACA
RNAcentral lists this ribosomal RNA (301 nucleotides) under uncultured bacterium. RNAcentral's name for it is "partial 16S ribosomal RNA". It matches the Rfam family "Bacterial small subunit ribosomal RNA", at positions 509 to 808 of the family's 1533-position model. The record is from RNAcentral.